This 301-nucleotide ribosomal RNA is filed under the name uncultured bacterium. RNAcentral describes it as "partial 16S ribosomal RNA". It matches the Rfam family "Bacterial small subunit ribosomal RNA", at positions 509 to 808 of the family's 1533-position model. The record is from RNAcentral.
CAGCAGCCGCGGGAAUACGUAGGUCCCGAGCGUUAUCCGGAUUUAUUGGGCGUAAAGCGAGCGCAGGCGGUUAGAUAAGUCUGAAGUUAAAGGCUGUGGCUUAACCAUAGUACGCUUUGGAAACUGUUUAACUUGAGUGCAGAAGGGGAGAGUGGAAUUCCACGUGUAGCAGUGAAAUGCGUAGAUAUAUGGAGGAACACCGGUGGCGAAAGCGGCUCUCUGGUCUGUAACUGACGCUGAGGCUCGAAAGCGUGGGGAGCAAACAGGAUUAGAUACCCCGGUAGUCCCUGUCUCUUAUACC